CAGAGAGUUAGCCGGGGCUUCCUCCUCGAGUCCUGUCAUGAUCGUGCACUCGACGAAAGAGCUUUACAAGCGGCAUUGCCCUUCUUCACUCAUGCGAAAUUGCCGAAUCGGGCUUUCGCCCAUUGUCCAAGAUUCCCCACUUCUCGCCCCCCGUGGGAGUCCGGGCCGUGUCUCAAUCCCAGUGUGGCUGAUCAUCCGAAAAGCCAGCUAAGCAUCAUUGGCUUGGUCAGCCUUUACCUGACCAACUAACUAAUACUAUGCAGGCUCAUCAAACAGCGUCUUUUGAGUCUUUCUUCAGGUAUUUCGGCCCAGACUUGUUCGGCAGACUUCCCACGCGUUACGCACCCAUUUCGCCUACUUUGUUCUCAACUAUUCCGAUUCAGCAAACGG
This 390-nucleotide ribosomal RNA is filed under the name uncultured bacterium. RNAcentral describes it as "partial 16S ribosomal RNA". The record is from RNAcentral.